UUCUCUCACAAUAGGGAUUACAAUUCAACAUGAGAUUUGGGUGGGGACACAAAUCCAAACCAUAUCACCCGCUAUGAUUGUGGGAGGAUCAAUCAAAUCAGCCAGCAGGUGGGAAGCACUUAGCACAGUGUUAUGUGGCAGGCACUUAAUAAAUGCUUGCUGGAACUAAGGCAAGAAUUAGGUACAGGAAGUGAGACAUCAAGGCCAGACAACAAACCUGUUUUGCUGAGCAUUUUGUCCAAGUGCUCUUAAAAUACUUUUGUCUGGGAUUGGUUUCUUUGUGCAGGACUGGGAUUAGAACUAAGAGGCCCCUCCAUGGGGAACUGCAGGCUCCAGGAGCCAGGCUGCCAUCUCAGAAACCACCGGGUCUUUUGACUCUCCCAAAGCUAUCUAUAGCCCACAAUGACACACAGUAGGUGCUCACUAAGUAUCUGUUGAAGCAUCAAUGCACUUAACAGAGGGAUGUGAACAACCUGACUCCCAGGAGCUACUGAACAGUAAAACACUGAGGUUUGCUUUAGUCAGACAAGCUUUGUCUUCUCGGAACAAACAAAAAAACAAUAAAAAUAAAUCAGACAAGGCUUUGUUUCUGAAAGACACUGAACAAAUACACUUGAGGUAUUAUCUCAAGAAAAAUCAAUGUCUUUCCCAUCCACCGGUGUACGUGCCUUUGGCAUUGACUUGGAAACACUGAAACCCUCCUGGCCCAGUGCUCUCUUGAGUCCACAGGCUGAGAAUACCAGUUCCAGCAUUCCCAGCUGGCCAAGCCGAUGAGAACUCAUUUCCUUCUUGGAGUGCAGAGCCAUCACUGCAGGAAGAAAAAGUGGAUGAGGAAGACCCUUUGGACAUCGUCAAAAGAGGCAUUGUUAGCAAAUGACGGGGGGCCAGUCCUGAAAGCCUGUGAGGCUGUGAGCAACUCUCCCACCUGCUCUUCUCUGUCUGUCCUACUCCUCAUGACAAUGACUCUUAUCCUGGAGGGCCUGCAGUAGCGUUUGACACACGUACCUCAUUUAAUUCUCACAAGAGUUCUAUGAAACAGGCUAGGAUUUGGCAAACCAUUGUCAGCUACCUGUUUUUGUAAAUAUAGUUUUAUUGGAACAUAACCACCACAAUUUAUUUACAUAUUGUCUAUAGCUGCUUUUACUCUACAAUGGCAGAGUUGAGUAGUUGUGACAAAAGCUCUAGGCCCUGAAAAGUGCAAAAUAUUUAUUUUACUAUGUGGCCCUUUACAGCAAAGGUGUGUUGACCCCUCAGAUAAAUGGGACAUUGCUCCCACUUUACAUAUGAGGCACAGAAAAGCUAAGCGCAUUGACUGAGAUCAUUUGGGUUAUAAAUUAUAGUGUCAGAGAUGUCUCGGACCCAGAGACAACUGUUCCCUAUGCUUUUCUCCUCCCUACCUUAUAGCAUCUCCUACUCUUUCACAUUCAUUUGUUCCUACUAAAUGUGUCAGCCAAAAAGAACACAUUCAUUUGCACUGAACAAGACGUCUCAGGUUGACCAUCACACAGAAGUCAACAGGAGGUUCUGGAGACUUGCAGAAAGUGAUCAUCCAGCAUAUCCUCUCCUCUCCUCUCCUAGCCCCUAAGGACUGAUUCGUAGUCUGCCCAGAGUUUAUAAGAGAGACAGUCAUCCAACAUGAAUAGAGAUGGCCUGAGCAGGCAUGGGCUCUUUGAAAUUCGGAGAGAUCAGCUCAAAGAUACACUGGGAAGAACCAGGUUGCCCCAAGCAAAAGGCAACAACUGCCCUUGGUUGAGCAAGAUUCCUUGGGAAGCUUAUUGGAGGCCCCACCUCUAAGGACAGGCCCACAUUUGCCUUGUCUGCCAUUCUUCCCUUACUGAUGUAUUCUGACCCUGUCUUGGCUUGAUUUAUCUUUGAUGUCUUUGAUGUUGCUCAUGACCAUGCUGCCUUCUUCCUGGGAGUUCCCAUCUGGUCCUGGUUUCUGCUUCUCUUGCCUUAGCUCAUACUCAAACCCUGUGGGUAACAGCCCACGUGCAACAGUGGUCUGCAGCUCCUGAGGGCUGUUGAAAAGAUUGCUUCAUUCAAUGCCAUAAAAAUAUCCAAGAAUACAGCAAUUGUUAUAGAAAUUAUGGUAAAUCUGCACAAUGAAAUAUUAUGCAGCCACUAAAACGGACAUCAAUUCAGAUUUCUAAAUGACACAAUGUAGCAGAGACAGGGCCAGGUUCAUGGGUGUGGGUCCUACACAGUCAUACAGGGCUCCACACUUACAAGGGCCCUACACUUGGUUUAAUGCUCCAUGGCUGCCACCUUGAAAUUCUGAAUAGUUUUAUAACAAGAGUCCUCCACAUUUACAUUUCACAUUGAGCCUAUAAAUUGUUAGCUAGUCCUGAGCAGAGAUGACUCUGAGUGCCCAUUUUCUCCUGUCUUUUAGUAAUAGAACCUCCUCCCUUUGCUUCAUACAUACACCCUGACUAGUGUUUCCACGCUGGAAUUCCUUCCCAGUAUUUCUUGAGAAUUUUUUAUGUUUCUCCAAAUCUCGAAAGAAAAAUCAGUCAAGAAAUUGGGAAAAAGUAUUGUAAUUAUCCUGCAGGAAUCAAGGCUUAAUGAUCAACAUAAAGACAUCACUGGUUUGAAUCCAUCAAUGUCAAAUGAAAAGCAAGAGCAGGAAAGGCUGGCAGGUGGAAGAGCAUAUAGCACAUAGGAGAGCACAUAGGUCAAGAGCUGAUCAGUCAAUCUUGCUUGUAGCCAUUGUCCUGUUCUAAGUGUGUGUUCUUGGCCCUGACUGAUGCUAAUGGCAAGUCAUUCUUGGAAAUAAAAUAAGCAGUAUUAGGUUUAUAUGUAUGUAUACUUUAUUCAAAUCCUGCUAGUGAUGUUCUAGGAAAUAACAAAUUUGGGAAGCAAAAUACGCCCUUAAUUGGCAAUUUCAAUGUGUGAUUCUGUGUAGUGCUUUAACCUUGCUAGGAGAUCUGAAUGUCACAUUCUUUGAAUAUUACCCAAAAAUGUUCACUGGUAUUUUCUAAUGUUUGAUUUUUUUUUUAUCUCAGGCUAUAGUUGUUUAUAAAUUUGCUAAAUGUAAUAUUUCUUAUUUAUUAAACCAAUUUCUUUUAGAUAUCCACAGUAAUGACUAAAGAGUAUAAAAAUUGCUGGAAGUCUUUUAUUUUCUUCUUGUUACUUAGUUUUCAUUUUGUAAUUAUAAACUUAACUCUGCGAUCCAGCUAGACAUGGAAGAGGAUAAGGAAAAUAUGGAACCCAAAGGACUGUGCAAAGAUUAUAGGAUGCUGUGAGCAAAUGGGGUGGAAGCAUGCUUUCCUGAGCUAUAGAAGGAACGAUCUGGUGGUUCAGAUAAAACAAUCAAAUUUAUUAGAGUUGUCCACAGUCAGCAGCUGUGAUCUUCUUGCUGGUCUUACCAUUCCUGGACCCAGAGCGUUCCAGGGCUUCCACAAUACUCAUGCCAUCUUUCACCUUGCCAAAGACCACAUGCUGUCAUCCAUCCUCUGUCUUGGCAGUACAGAAGAAAAACUGGGAACCAUUUGUGGUGGGUCCAGCAUUUGCCGUGGACAAGACGCCAGGAGCUGUAUGCUUAGGAUGAAGUUCUCAUCAUCAAAUUCCUUGCUGUAGAGGGACUUGCCACCAGUGCCAUUAUGGUGUGUGAAGUCACCACCCUGACACACACCCCGGAAUAAUUCUGUAAAAGCAGGGACAUUUAUCACCAAAUACUUUCUCUCCAGUGUUCAGAGCACAAAAAUUUUCUUCCAUCUUUAGAACUUUGUCUGCAAAUAGCUUGAAGGAGAUGCAGCCCAAGGACUCACUAUCAAUUGCAAUGUUGAAGAACACAGUGGGGUUGGCCAUGGCUGGUGGCAGGGAGUUCUGGGCAGCAGCGAUGUCUGCAAAUGGAAGUCUUUUCAGAAUAACACGAGUUUAUCUUUAUAACAAACCUAUACAUGUAUCCCUGAACCUAAAAUAAAAGUUUUUUUUUUAAAAGGAUAACUUAUUAUUUCAGAAAUUUCUAAGAAUUCCCAGGAAUUCCAACUUCUCAUUUGUAUAUCCUGAUGAAUAUCCACUGGGUAUUUGGAAAUGCCAAUUUCUGACAUAUGAUUGCUUAGCUAGAGACUGCAUUUCCAGCCUCCUUUGCAGGUAACUAUAGCCAGGUUCUAAGUUUUGGCCAAUGAGAUGUUAGCAGAAGUGAAAUGUGUGCCUUCUGGAUUUUAUUUUUAUGAGAAAUUUGCCUGUCUUCUAUUCUUUUUCCCUCUUCUCUCUGGCUCGGAAAUGAUGAAAAGUACAGGACUCACUGGGACCAAAAUUCAGAAAUUACAUGUUAAGGAAGAGAGGGCUGCUCCUCUAGCCUGUUCUCCUUAUGACCUUGUGGAACGGAAUUGCCUACCUGCCCUGGACUAUCCUAAGAUUGUCGUAUGGAGAGAAAUACAUUCUAUUUUAUUUAAA
This 4398-nucleotide long non-coding RNA is filed under the name Homo sapiens (human). RNAcentral describes it as "HSALNT0360043". The record is from RNAcentral. Lineage: Eukaryota; Metazoa; Chordata; Mammalia; Primates; Hominidae.